GGGGACUUGGGUCGGACAGUUACGAGUCGGACCUGCCCGGUGACUAAGUGUUAAACGGCCGCGGUACCCUGACCGUGCAAAGGUAGCAUAAUCAUUUGCCUUUUAAUUGGAGGCUGGUAUGAAUGGUUUGACGAGAGCUAAACUGUCUCUUUUAAAAUAAGUAGAAUUUAACUUUUAGGUGAAGAGGCCUAAAUUCAUUUGAGGGACAAGAAGACCCUAUCGAGCUUUAGUGAUAUUGUAAAUUAGAGGGGCAAAUAUAGGUGAGCCCUUAAUGUGUUGUUGAAAAUGUAGUUUGUAUAAUCUCUUUUUGCAAAGAAUCUUUAGUUGGGGCGACUGAGGAACAGAGAGAGCUUCCUUGAAUGGGCUGAGCUAUAAGUGCUACUAGAUUGAAGAGUUGUACGUAAUGGUGUUGAUCCAAAACUUUUGAUUAAGGGAAAAAGUUACCGUAGGGAUAACAGCGUAAUCUUUCUGGAGAGAUCAUAUCGAAAGAAGGGUUUGCGACCUCGAUGUUGGACUAAGAUAUCCGGAGGGUGUAGAAGCUCUCAAAGGUUGGUCUGUUCGACCAUUAAAAUCUU
This 575-nucleotide ribosomal RNA is filed under the name Stomatella impertusa. Its description in RNAcentral is "partial 16S ribosomal RNA". It matches the Rfam family "Bacterial large subunit ribosomal RNA", at positions 1827 to 2597 of the family's 2925-position model. Lineage: Eukaryota; Metazoa; Mollusca; Gastropoda; Trochida; Trochidae. The record is from RNAcentral.